UGGCUAUAUACAGGGAGUACCAGGUAAUACCAUGGCUAUAUACAGGGAGUACCAGGUAAUAACAUGGCUAUAUACAGGGAGUACCAGGUAAUAACAUGGCUAUAUACAGGGAGUACCAGGUAAUAACAUGGCUAUAUACAGGGAGUACCAGGUAAUAACAUGACUAUAUAC
Oncorhynchus keta (chum salmon) is the source of this 171-nucleotide long non-coding RNA. RefSeq lists it as uncharacterized. Lineage: Eukaryota; Metazoa; Chordata; Actinopteri; Salmoniformes; Salmonidae. The record is from RefSeq and is a predicted model, not a curated record. The transcript is spliced from 3 exons.